AAUAACCAAAUAUAAUAAUUGGAUUAAAGAUCAAGUUGGUAAUUUUUCUUACAUCUCCCACUCUCGGAGCCCAGGUAUCAUAGACACCACCAAAAUAAUAAAGUUUUACAAUAAAGACUAAA
Molecule: non-coding RNA, 122 nt
Filed under: Daucus carota subsp. sativus
Lineage: Eukaryota; Viridiplantae; Streptophyta; Magnoliopsida; Apiales; Apiaceae
Description: Antisense RNA which regulates isiA expression
Rfam family: Antisense RNA which regulates isiA expression
Source: Rfam by way of RNAcentral